GUUCCAUCUUGUGCUCUUACUUUGAGAAGUUCAGCACUUUUCUCGAAUGGGUAGUACGGGCGGAGGCGGGGAAUGGAUUGGUGGUGCACUAUUUGGAUGAUUUCUUCUGCCUGGGGCUUGCCGGCGUUUGCUUCGGACUAUCGAGUGGGUCGCGGGUUGCUUCGGGGUCCCGCUGGCAGCAGAUAAAACAGAAGGCCUGGCAGUGUGCCUUAGUUUCCUG
Molecule: non-coding RNA, 220 nt
Organism: Pelobates cultripes (western spadefoot toad)
Lineage: Eukaryota; Metazoa; Chordata; Amphibia; Anura; Pelobatidae
Source: the annotation of a GenBank genome assembly